AGGCUCAGCACCAUGGAGGCCCAUUCGAAAACCAAGGAAGAAAUCAACACACGGAUAAUUCAAACUGAAUUUGAAAAUGAACUAAAACACGCGCCAUGUCACUGAGUCCAUCAGCUCAAUCCAGCUCCGAAUGACCACAGUGGGCCACCACGCCGGAAAUCGCUUUCGGCGACGGUGGCCACCAGAAAUUAAAAUCAAACACCUCACUAGAACUGUCUCAUCCUCCCCGAUCUGACUCUCCAAUCAAUUUCAACCUAAACCACACGUAGAACACUAACCGAAUCCAAAUACUUGUGAACCAUAGGUCUUGAGAUACGAAUUGAACAAUGAUAUGAAGGAAUUGAAGUUCCUUGUGUGAGGGCUUUAAUUCUUCACCCUAAUCACUACAUGACUGGAGAGAAAAUAGAGAUGAAACAAGGAGUAAAGCCUACCUACGGAACAUAGGAGUUUCCCAGAUUUUGUUGAAAACGUAGGUGACGAUAUUGAACAAGAAAUCCAGAGAUUCUCUAGGUCUAGGUGAGGGCCUUGAUGCAGGUCCAGGGCUGCAGGACCUUCCAUUCAACUUGGUUGUUGCAUUGCUGAAUGGAUGUGUUGUUUUGCUGCAGAUUAUGUAGACAAAUUACUAGUGAUACAAGUCUAAUGUGUUGUCAUUGUAUUGUCAAUGUGUGUGUGGCUGCAGGUCUGAUGUACUACUGUUACAGAUGAGUGUGAUUACUGCAGAUGAAUGUUAUACAGGCCCUGGUUUCUAAUUGAUUCAAAGUCUUAUGCUGCUAUGGUUUUAUAGGAACAACAUUUCAUGCAUGGAGUUUUUCUUCGCUAUGAGAAUCAAUGCGAUGCAAAGAUAACUUAGCUCAUCAAAGGUCAUGGAAGCAUGCUUGAACUUGGUUCUUGUAUGCUAAGUGUGUAUGUAUGGGUGUAUUGCCAUGGCUAUUUUUGCAGGGUUGUGAUGAAUUGUGUCAUGCUUGGAUUAAUGCUUGUAAUGACACGAUUUCAAGAUAUGGCAAGAGACUCUGAUGACAAAACAAAGCAUGGCACAAAAAUGGUUUUCUUGUUCAUGAAGAAUGUUUGGUAAUGGAAAGAUGGGAAGGACAUGGAAUUCAAGUAGAAAUUAGGGUUAGGUCAUGAAAAAAGGUUGGUUGACCAAAAAGUCAACAAAUGACCAAAAAGUCAACAGUUGACCAAAAAGUCAACCUUUACAAAAUGUAAUUUUGAUUUCUUUUUUUGCAAUGAAACAAUGCAUUCUUUGAUAUAUGAAUGGAAAAUCAAUGUUUUAAGUGUAA
Lathyrus oleraceus (garden pea) is the source of this 1280-nucleotide long non-coding RNA. RefSeq lists it as uncharacterized. The transcript is spliced from 2 exons. The record is from RefSeq and is a predicted model, not a curated record. NCBI's taxonomy places the organism in Eukaryota, Viridiplantae, Streptophyta, Magnoliopsida, Fabales, Fabaceae.